This 406-nucleotide ribosomal RNA is filed under the name uncultured bacterium. RNAcentral describes it as "partial 16S ribosomal RNA". It matches the Rfam family "Bacterial small subunit ribosomal RNA", at positions 30 to 526 of the family's 1533-position model. The record is from RNAcentral.
AUUGAACGCUGGCGGCAGGCCUAACACAUGCAAGUCGAACGAGUGGCGGACGGGUGAGUAAUGGCUGGGAAACUGCCUGAUGGAGGGGGAUCACUACUGGAAACGGUAGCUAAUACCGCAUACCAUCGGAUGUGCCCAGACGGGAGUAGCCAGCAGGUGGGGUAACGGCUCACCUAGGCGACGAUCCCCAGCUGGUCUGAGAGGAUGACCAGCCACCCUGGAACAGGUACACGGUCCAGACUCCUACGGUAGGCAGCAGUGGGGAAUAUUGCGCAAUGGGCAAAAGCCUGAUGCAGCUAUGCCGCGUGUAUGAAGAAGGCCUUCGGGUUGUAAAGUACUUUAAGCGAGGAGGCGUUACUCGCAGAAAAAGCACCGGCUAACUCCGUGCCAGCAGCCGCGGUAAUUC